RNAcentral lists this long non-coding RNA (1387 nucleotides) under Anas platyrhynchos platyrhynchos (common mallard). RNAcentral's name for it is "lncRNA (ENSAPLG00000018630.1)". The record is from RNAcentral. Lineage: Eukaryota; Metazoa; Chordata; Aves; Anseriformes; Anatidae.
UUAGCUCUCCGGAUGGACCUCACAGAUCAAAGACUCCCAGUUCCCUCCUGCAGCACUGCUCCACGGCUUCAGAAACAGCCUGGCCCACUGCUCUUUCUAUGGAGAAACCAAAGCAGCUGGGCUAUAAGUUUCAUUUGUUGCCAAUUUGGUCUGGGUUGGCCAACUCAGAGGAAGGGGAAAAUCAGCACUCUGCUCCAUCACCUGCACUUCAGAUUCUUUUGGGCAAAAACCCAAGUCCAAUGCUGGGAAGCACCUACAAGGAGUGGUCAGAAAAUCAGGCUAGGGAACAUCAAACCCCUUACAGACACCAGCUAGGACUAUUCAGGGUCCAUUUCCAGCUCUGCCUUAAGUGCCCAGAGCCACUUCAGUGCCAAGGUCAGCACGCUGAUGGGCAUAAUCCAUGCUGCUGGGAAUGCUGAGCUGGUGCAGGAUUAUUUCUCCUCCCCUCUCUGCUUCAUUCCCAUCACAUUCCCAUCCCUUCCUCUCCUUUUUAGUGACAUUUCCCUCUUGCACUGUGUCCCUUUCCCAUACUCAUCCUCCUUGCCUUCAGCCUUGGGUUGCUCUGGCUGUACCAUCAUCCCUGCGAGGCCACCAAGCCGCACGCAAGCACAGCAGCCUAGCAAAAGGCUGGAUCAAUACAUGCUGGCAGCUCUGCACCUGCUGCCCUGGCAGUGCCCUGAGUCCCUUCCCCUCCGCUGAAACCAAACGAAACCCUGCUCCAAAUUCAAGCCUGUCCCCAGCCCACCUGUGUGAUCUGCAGCAGCACAAGGCAUCCCAAUUUGUGCUGCAUGAACUAUGUGUGGAUGGGAAUAUUCCCUGAGAAGCAGAUCAGGAGAAAACUGGGGCUGCCUCGCUAAGCCAGGCUACCAGCACCUGCACUUGGGUGAUUUAUUUUUUUUCCUGAGGAGAUUGUGAAGAGCUUAUUUGCCACCUGGGCCCAGUGGAAAAGGCCCCGGGUUUGGGAGUUAGGAGUCUUCAGCUGCUGCCUCAGCUGUGCCAUUUACUGCUGUGCAAUGAUGCGCAAGCAGGAUCCUGCAAGUGUGAAGCUGAAGAACUGCAAAGACUGAGGUUCACACCAGAUCUCCCACUCAUCCCUCCCUCACUGCUCUCACAAAACGAGUCCCUCCUCCCAGAGCUUAUGGCCCAGCUCACACCUGGCUGAGCAGUGGAGAUCUCCUUCCUUCCCCAGCCCAGAAGCUAAGCAAGGGCUGAGCUCUAUCACGAGGUCACCUUUGCAGCCGGAGGCACAUUUCUGAGAAUGCCCCUGACCACAGAGUCCCCCCCCGUGCCUCGCUUCUGCUGUGCCGAGCCAAGAGCCUAUAGAUUUCCUGCUCUUAAAAUACAUUAACGUAAUAAAAGUCAGAAUUACACAGCCUGGAAUUUGUGA